RNAcentral lists this long non-coding RNA (2710 nucleotides) under Triticum aestivum (bread wheat). Its description in RNAcentral is "long non-coding RNA (TAES_LNC016428)". The record is from RNAcentral. Lineage: Eukaryota; Viridiplantae; Streptophyta; Magnoliopsida; Poales; Poaceae.
ACUAGUAAACUUGUACGUGCAACGCACGUCUCAAUCAAUACUCUUUUCAAUGAUACAGCUACUACGACGCAACAAACGAUGGUAAUUACUAUGCAAACAAUGGUUGGCAUACGAUAAUGUAUUGGACAACCGUGCCCAACCAUGUUAUGAUUAUUUGAGUAAUUCAAACUUGAUUUGUGAGAUAUCAUCUAUUCCAAGCCAAUAAUGCGUAAAAUUACAUUGGAAAAGGAAUAUAAAAAAACCAAGCAAUAUAAUUUUCUACUGCUCUCCUGAAAAAAAGUUCAAUUGUACACACUAUCUUGUCUCACUGAAAUAUCUUCACCGAGAUUAUGUUCUCUCAUUCCUCUUCAUCCAGAUUCAGCACUGAAAAGGCAUUUAAAUUGCUCAUUUGUCGACACUCAACAUUGGAGAUCAAUAAUACUUUGGCAGCAAAUCACUAAAAAGGAAAGACAUGUAAGAAAAUGACAACAACAAAAAAACCAAGAUUACAUUCAUUAUAUGGCAUGGUAUCAUACUUUCCAAGGUACUUUCAUAAGCUAAUGAGCUGAAACUAUAGAUACUGAUUGAAAUAAGAUGUGCCUAGUUGGCAACCCUAACUUUGGCCAACAUCAAUUUUCAUCAUGUAUAAAGUUCCAAGCCUAAAGAAAACAUAAAUGUAUAUGGACAUAGCAGAAUAAUGGGUGCAUGAUAGUUGGUUAAAUAAGUGAACCAUUUCUGCCCAACAAAGAUUUGAAUUCAAUUUAUUGUCAUGUGAGUUGGUGCACAGUUUAUCAAGGUGUAACCAUGCAAAGAAAGAUCUUGCCAGAUGAAACAUGAGUGAAAACGAUGAUUCAGGCCCACACUCCUUACUAACAAACGGGAAAGCCUAUCAUUUAUAUAAACCAAUAGGCAAGUCUCCCAUCUUCAACCAAGCAAAUAGAUAGCAAGUUAGUUGAAUGUAAAAAAGGGAUAGGGGAAGACAUAUAUGAAAACUAAGUUCAUGUAAAUAGAGUGAUAGAGAAUCUGCAGGUUUUGAGCACUGCCACCAAAGCCAGGACACAGCUGGCAUCCAACUUGAACAAAUUGUAAUGUUCGCGUACGGAAAAAGCUAAUCUUCAUUGACAAGAAACAGUAAUGUUCAAACAUUGAAACCUCCUGAAAAACACGAUACAAUAAUUGUAUGUCAUCAUCUGACUGAAGCCAUUAAUUAGUAGUGCCGGUACCAAAUUUGAUUUCAAACAAAAACAUGGAAAAGUAAAAAAGUAGAAUUUUUGUUGCAAUGCUCAUUAUAAUUAGUGUGUUGUUGUGGAAUAUUUCUGGUUACAGUAGAAAAUAUAACUUUAGGUUCUGCGAAUUUCUCGACUCUCCUAUAUGAGCUAUACAUCUUAAAUGUCCCCCACUAUGUCUGUACAGCAGAAGCAUCCUCGAGCAACUGUCAGGCUUCAUUUGUUGUUGCUAAUAAAAAUAGAGACAUAGCCCAAAUAUAAAGUCAAAUCACCCAUGUAAGAGACAUCCGUGAGAGACUAAAUUGUGUGAUAAAGAGCUUGUCAUCAAAGAUAAGCAUGUGAUGGAAGCAGCAAAAAAAUUAUAAAGUUGCUCCUUCACUUUUUAAAUUUCCUUAUUCAUAGUCCCUCCUUCCCAAAAUAUAAGGCACGCUUGACAUUGCAUGGUCUUUAAUGCACAACUCUGCACAGUAAUACAAAAAAAAUUAUAUGAUUAUAGCAUUUAUAAGUGGUAUCAUCGUAUUUGCAAAUUUUUUAAUUUGUGUAGACAUAAUAUAAGUGAAAAUCAAAUUCAAAGUUGUGAAUCGAAGACCAAAAAAAGUCAAUUGUGCCGUAUAUUUUGGUAAGGAGGGAGUAUAUAGCAUCGGGAGUUCCAUGCAAGAACUCAACAAAAUUGAAGGUAGCACUCACAUUAGUAUAACAAAGGAAGUCAUCCAGAAUUAUGACUUAUAAAUUAUAAUGAGUAAAAUAAAAGUAAGUCGCUAGGAAUAGAAACAAACCAGCAACCACCCGCAUUGUACCAUCCAUGAUCUUGUUGGGAAAGGGAAGUAAUUUCUAACUUGACAGACAUCCACCGAUUGCAGAAAUGGAAUGUGCGUCUAGGGGCACGCUGGAUGCGAGCUGCCAAAUAUUUGUAAUCUGAAUGGGAAGUAUCACAGAUUGCAUAAGAUUAGAGAAUUCAAUACAGGACUAAAAAUAGAGCUUGCAUAAAGUAAUGAAGGUAAUACCUUUCUUGUACUUACUGAAUUCUUUGUACGAACAUUUGCUGAUUUUUUUUAAAUUGGCAUUAAUCUGGAAAAAGGAAACUAUGAGAAGCACCAAACCAAGGUCAUUAAAUUUAGGCCCUACACCAUAGAAAUGUCCUCUUUCUCAUAUUAAGGGCUCAUCAACUUGCAACGGAAGGAUUCAAUUGGUGCCUGGUUGGGGUUCAGAAGCUACACAAACCAGUUUAGGCACUAACAUUUACCCAUAGAAAUGCCAACUCUCUCAUGUUAUCAGAGUGUACACAAUGGCCAUCUCAACUGGAAGGUUGUACACCUAGGGUAAAUAUUUCUUCUAUCUUACUAAUAAAAUGAAAAGGGACCACCAACGGUUAGCACACUGGCCACCUUGUAACAGGAGUACUAUGAGCAAAAUACAAAAGACAAGCUUAAAAAUACCCACGGGCGUUAGUGACAAGGGAGAUGCAAAGAUAUAGAGACAAAAACCAUGAUAUUUGGUCACCUCAC